Melitaea cinxia (Glanville fritillary) is the source of this 447-nucleotide long non-coding RNA. RefSeq lists it as uncharacterized. The transcript is spliced from 2 exons. The record is from RefSeq and is a predicted model, not a curated record. Lineage: Eukaryota; Metazoa; Arthropoda; Insecta; Lepidoptera; Nymphalidae.
AGUAGUGGAUUGUACGAAUAUAGGUGUCUGCGCGGCAAUGUAGUGGAUGUCUCGUAAAGUUUUAUGUGUGUGUGAAUGCGGCGUAGUACGUGAUACGACGUAAUACAAGCGUCGUCGCCGUCUCGCGUAAAUUAUAUACGGAAUUUUGUUUCACAAGCUGACAACAAUGCUGCUAGGAAACGAAAUUAUAGUGUGAAAUAAGUAUGUAUUUUUCUUAUUUCGACUCCCGAUUACAAAUAACAAAAACGACAAUAAUGUGAGAAUUAAAUGGAACGUAGGUAACAUUAAUUGUCAAAACUAUUACUACAGACAAAUUGACCAAGGUAUCCAUUAAUUAUGCGGUUAAAACUUCAAUACUGAAGUUAGUAAUGUUUCAAACUCUUUAAAUAUUUGUCUACUAGCUAUAAAUUCUGAAUGAAAUAAUAAAAACAAAAUCGUGUUAAAGUU